Molecule: ribosomal RNA, 519 nt
Filed under: uncultured Glomus
Lineage: Eukaryota; Fungi; Glomeromycota; Glomeromycetes; Glomerales; Glomeraceae
Description: SSU rRNA
Rfam family: Eukaryotic small subunit ribosomal RNA
Source: RNAcentral
AGCAGCCGCGGUAAUUCCAGCUCCAAUAGCGUAUAUUAAAGUUGUUGCAGUUAAAAAGCUCGUAGUUGAAUUUCGGGAUCAAUAUUUCGGUCAUGCCGUUGGUAUGCACUGUUAUCAUUGAUUUCUCACCUUCUAAAGAACCGUAAUGCCAUUAAUUUGGUGUUACGGGGAAUUAGGACUGUUACCUUGAAAAAAUUAGAGUGUUUAAAGCAAGCUCACGCUUGAAUACAUUAGCAUGGAAUAAUGAAAUAGGACAUCCGAUUCUAUUUUGUUGGUUUCUAGGAUCGAUGUAAUGAUUAAUAGGGAUAGUUGGGGGCAUUAGUAUUCAAUUGUCAGAGGUGAAAUUCUUGGAUUUAUUGAAGACUAACUACUGCGAAAGCAUUUGCCAAGGAUGUUUUCAUUAAUUAAGAACGAAAGUUAGGGGAUCGAAGACGAUCAGAUACCGUCGUAGUCUUAACCAUAAACUAUGCCGACUAGGGAUCGGAUGAUGUUAAUUUUUAAUGACUCAUUCGGCGUCCG